RNAcentral lists this ribosomal RNA (520 nucleotides) under uncultured Glomus. Its description in RNAcentral is "SSU rRNA". It matches the Rfam family "Eukaryotic small subunit ribosomal RNA", at positions 569 to 1092 of the family's 1831-position model. Lineage: Eukaryota; Fungi; Glomeromycota; Glomeromycetes; Glomerales; Glomeraceae. The record is from RNAcentral.
AGCAGCCGCGGUAAUUCCAGCUCCAAUAGCGUAUAUUAAAGUUGUUGCAGUUAAAAAGCUCGUAGUUGAAUUUCGGGAUCAAUAUGUCGGUCGUGCCUCGGUACGUACUGGUAUCAUUGGUUUCUCCCUUCUGAUGAACCAUGAUGCCAUUAAUUUGGUGUCGUGGGGAAUCAGGACUGUUACUUUGAAAAAAUUAGAGUGUUUAAAGCAGGCUCACGCUUGAAUACAUUAGCAUGGAAUAAUGAAAUAGGACGUUUGAUUCUAUUUUGUUGGUUUCUAGGAUCGACGUAAUGAUUAAUAGGGAUAGUUGGGGGCAUUAGUAUUCAAUUGUCAGAGGUAAAAUUCUUGGAUUUAUUGAAGACUAACUACUGCGAAAGCAUUUGCCAAGGAUGUUUUCAUUAAUCAAGAACGAAAGUUAGGGGAUCGAAGACGAUCAGAUACCGUCGUAGUCUUAACCAUAAACUAUGCCGACUAGGGACCGGAUGAUGUUAAUUUUUAAUGACUCAUUCGGCGCCUUAAC